GAUGAAGAACGUAGCGAAAUGCGAUAAGUAAUGUGAAUUGCAGAAUUCAGUGAAUCAUCGAAUCUUUGAACGCACCUUGCGCCCCUUGGUUAUUCCAAAGGGCAUGCCUGUUUGAGUAUCAUGAACACCUCAACUCUUGUGGUUUCCCACAAUGAGCUUGGACUGUGGAGGUUUUGUUGGCCCUGUGGUCAGCUCCUCUCAAAUGGAUCAGCUUACCGGUGUUUGGUGGCAUUACGGGUGUGAUAACUAUCUACGCUCGUGGUCGUCUCCAAAUAACCUCCAGUGAUGGAGGUUCGCUGGAGCUUAUAAAUGUCUCUCCCCAGUGAAUACAGCCUUUGAACGUUCGAUCUCAAAUCAGGUAGGACUACCCGCUGAACUUAAGCAUAUCAAUAAGCGGAGGA
Molecule: unclassified non-coding RNA, 401 nt
Filed under: soil metagenome
Description: partial contains 5.8S ribosomal RNA, internal transcribed spacer 2, and large subunit ribosomal RNA
Rfam family: 5.8S ribosomal RNA (bases 1-121)
Source: RNAcentral